GGGCACAAGCCACCAACACUGACCCAAUCCGAAUAUACAGCCCGAAAAGCAACUAUUUUUUUCCGUGUUCUUCUCUCCUCUUCCGCUCCCCACCGAAAGCAUAAACAGCACACCGGCAACGGGAAAGGAAGGGAUACCGACGCGAGCACGCGCCGAGCAACGUCUCGAAAAGGCCAUGCAGGACGGCGGCGAGGUGCUGUUCCUGGACGGCGUCGGGGAGGUCGCCGUCACCAUCGGCCGCAACGGCCUCUCUGCACGGCCCCUCCACCCGGAACUGAUCUCUUCAUGUUGGUCGUCCAUUACACUGCAGCCUAAAUUAGACAGCAAAAUCAACUUUUCAGAUGUUUAUGCCAUAGAGAUGCUUGAUAAGGGUCGUAUCUGUGGGCCUUGGAAUACAAAGACUGCUAUUCAAGGCAAGAAAAAUAUUGAGAUGCACCGGUUUGUCGUACAUGGGAUUACCAGAAGAAGGAAACACCCUUCUCCGUGGGUACCUUGUGAAUAUAUUUUUGGUCACAAAGACUUGAAGAUCUGCAAAGAUUGGUUUCAGCAUCUCAUUUCGUGCAUAAACAAUGAAAGUGGUAGACCAAAGAACUUAAUGGUAUUUGUUCAUCCAUUGUGUGGAAAAGGUAGAGGGGUCAGUAACUGGGAAACAGUGUAUCCGUUAUUUGCUAGAGCAAAGAUAAAAACAAAGGUGAUAGUGACAGAGAGAGCAGGGCAUGCAUAUGACACACUAUCAUCAUUAUCAGAUAUAGAACUGAAGGCAUUUGAUGGUGUUGUUGCAGUGGGUGGCGACGGUCUAUUUAAUGAAAUUCUGAAUGGGAUACUUAGUUCUAGGCACAAGGUUUCAUAUCCCCCAACUCCUGAGGGGUUUGGAUAUGUUGGAAGCAGUGAUAACUGUGAAGAACAGACAAGAAAUUGGGUUAACUUUAGUAAACCCACACCAGAUUCUGGGAAUGCCGUGUUUCUAGGGAAUCCAAGUAAAUGUGAUGACCAAGAACCUCUUCUUUCAACUUCACAUCCUACCGAGCUAGAGAUACCAUCAAAUUCUACUAAAGAACCAUGUAUUGGAGAUCAGGAUAACCCAGUUUCCUUCCCAAAUGACUGGUUUAGGCUUGGCAUAAUUCCUUCUGGCUCAACUGAUGCUAUUGUUCUCAGCACAACUGGGGAGAGAGAUCCUGUCACCUCUGCUCUGCUUAUUAUUCUUGGCAGAAAGGUGUCACUUGAUAUAGCUCAAGUCGUUAGAUGGAAAACUAGCCCAACAGCUGAGGUUUUGCCUACUGUACGCUAUGCUGCUUCAUUUGCAGGUUAUGGCUUUUAUGGAGAAGUUAUCAGGGAGAGCGAAAAGUACCGGUGGAUGGGUCCUGCACGUUAUGACUUUUCUGGAACAAUGGUCUUUCUGAAGCACAGGUCAUAUGGGGCAAAGGUUGCUUUUCUCGAUACUCCAUACACUCAUUCGCUUACAGCAUCAGCACAGGAUGAUAUAACUGGAGCACAACCACUACAAUCUCGUUGGAAGAAACCUCGCAAAAUAAUCUGCAGAACAAAUUGCUUUGUAUGCAAAGAGGCUUCAACAUCUGGACAAAAUCCAGAAGAUGUUGCAGACAACUCCAGAACAAUAUGCGAGAACCAGAAGUGGGUCUGGUCCGAAGGACAUUUCCUCAGCGUCGGUGCAGCUGUCAUUUCAUGUCGUAACGAAAGAGCCCCUGAUGGCCUGGUAGCUGACGCACACCUUUCGGAUGGUUUUCUUCAUCUCUUGCUCAUAAGAGACUGCCCUCUUCCCCUUUACUUGUGGUGAGCGAAAUGUUGCUCUCUUGCUGAGCUCAUGAUCCAAUCUCUUCUGACUCCAGGCAUCUAACACAAUUUACCAAGAAGGGUUCAGAUCCCCUGUCCUUCAAGUUCGUUGAGCAUCACAAGACACAAGCGUUUACCUUUAUCUCAUCACAUGACGAAAGUGUUUGGAACUUGGAUGGAGAGAUGUUUCAGGCAUGUGAGGUAUCUGUCCAAGCGUGCCGGGGGCUUGUCAACUUCUUUGCUUCGGGGCCAGAGCUGUAGUAAUGAUACUCGUAAGUUCCUCUUUGCAUGAACGAAGGAUGCCAGGAGUUCAUAUUUUUUAUUUAGAGAGUCCCUUAUUUCGACAUGUUGACAUGUUGACAUGUUGUGAUGUUGUACACUCUUAUUUGUAUUUUAGUGGAGACCUAGAACACUUUGUUGAUAGAUAUACUGUUAAUAUUUGUUGAUAGCUAUGUGGCAUGGAAACUACAACCCAUUUGUGCUAUAGAAUAGAGGAACAAAAGGUUUUGAUUGAAUUAAUGAAGUAAAAGUUUACUUUC
This is an RNA transcript of Zea mays, 2330 nucleotides long. RefSeq lists it as uncharacterized. NCBI's taxonomy places the organism in Eukaryota, Viridiplantae, Streptophyta, Magnoliopsida, Poales, Poaceae. The transcript is spliced from 13 exons. The record is from RefSeq and is marked validated.